Molecule: ribosomal RNA, 542 nt
Filed under: Cryptosporidium andersoni
Lineage: Eukaryota; Apicomplexa; Conoidasida; Eucoccidiorida; Cryptosporidiidae
Description: SSU rRNA
Rfam family: Eukaryotic small subunit ribosomal RNA
Source: RNAcentral
AGACGGUAGGGUAUUGGCCUACCGUGGCUAUGACGGGUAACGGGGAAUUAGGGUUCGAUUCCGGAGAGGGAGCCUGAGAAACGGCUACCACAUCUAAGGAAGGCAGCAGGCGCGCAAAUUACCCAAUCCUGACACAGAGAGGUAGUGACAAGAAAUAACAAUACAGGGCCUAACGGUCUUGUAAUUGGAAUGAGUGAAGUAUAAACCCCUUUACGAGUAUCAAUUGGAGGGCAAGUCUGGUGCCAGCAGCCGCGGUAAUUCCAGCUCCAAUAGCGUAUAUAAAAGUUGUUGCAGUUAAAAAGCUCGUAGUUGGAUUUCUGUUGUAUAACCUGUAAUAUUACUAAGGUAUAUAUAAUAUAAUCAACAUCCUUCCUAUUAUAUUUCUAAAUAUAUAGGAAACUUUACUUUGAGAAAAUUAGAGUGCUUAAAGCAGGCAACUGCCUUGAAUACUCCAGCAUGGAAUAAUAAGCAAGGACUUUUGUCUUUCUUAUUGGUUCUAGGACAAAAGUAAUGGUUAAUAGGGACAGUUGGGGGCAUUCGUA